RNAcentral lists this ribosomal RNA (629 nucleotides) under Xestopelta gracillima. Its description in RNAcentral is "eukaryotic LSU rRNA". It matches the Rfam family "Eukaryotic large subunit ribosomal RNA", at positions 420 to 784 of the family's 3401-position model. Lineage: Eukaryota; Metazoa; Arthropoda; Insecta; Hymenoptera; Ichneumonidae. The record is from RNAcentral.
CCUGAGAAACCCAAAAGAUCGAAUGGGGAGAUUCAUCGUCAAGCGUUACUGGUACGUGUGCGGUUCGCGAUGCUCGGGACUUCGGUUCCCGCGGUACGCGUCCGCAUGUUUUUAUUGCCUGGUAACGUCGGCGUGCACUUCUCCCCUAGUAGGACGUCGCGACCCGUUGGGUGUCGGUCUACGGCCCGGGUGGGUGCCUGUCUCGUGUGGCGCUUCACGGCGUCACUGCGGGGCAGACCCCCGGUUGCCUGACCGGCUGCCCGGCGGUACUCGCAAGGUAUCCGGCCGCAAAAAUUUGAACUGCGUCCGGCCCGUCGCAAGCGAGGCAAGUGUUUCCCGAAUGUACGGAUCUAAUGCCGUCAUCGGGCCUGGCCAGCUGUUGGUUGACGGUGUCCUAGGACAGGCUGUAACUUAAUUAUGAUACCGGUCAGCGACGCUACUGCUUUGGGUACUUUCAGGACCCGUCUUGAAACACGGACCAAGGAGUCUAACAUGUGCGCGAGUCAUUGGGAGCUAUUAAGCCUAAAGGCGCAAUGAAAGUGAAGGUCGGCCUUGCGCCGACCGAGGGAGGAUGGGCCGCUCUACGAGUCGGUCCCGCACUCCCGGGACGUCUCGUUCUCAUUACGAGA